RNAcentral lists this transfer RNA (71 nucleotides) under Loxodonta africana (African savanna elephant). It matches the Rfam family "tRNA". From Rfam's summary of the family: Transfer RNA (tRNA) molecules are approximately 80 nucleotides in length. Their secondary structure includes four short double-helical elements and three loops (D, anti-codon, and T loops). Further hydrogen bonds mediate the characteristic L-shaped molecular structure. tRNAs have two regions of fundamental functional importance: the anti-codon, which is responsible for specific mRNA codon recognition, and the 3' end, to which the tRNAs corresponding amino acid is attached (by aminoacyl-tRNA synthetases). tRNAs cope with the degeneracy of the genetic code in two manners: having more than one tRNA (with a specific anti-codon) for a particular amino acid; and 'wobble' base-pairing, i.e. permitting non-standard base-pairing at the 3rd anti-codon position. The record is from Rfam by way of RNAcentral. Lineage: Eukaryota; Metazoa; Chordata; Mammalia; Proboscidea; Elephantidae.
ACAUUGGUAGUUCAGUGAUAGAAUUCUCACCUUCCAUGCCGGAAACCUGGGUUUCAUUCCUGGCCAAUGCA